UCUACAGAGAGGCUCAGAAUGGCUAGGGCACCUCAACACAGCAACGAAGCAAAUUUCUUGAGAAUCUGGACCCUAGGCUUCUCAACUUGAUGGCCUUGGAAAAGAUGUGAACUAACUAUCCUCUUUAUGUCUGUCAUGGAUGGGAGAAGAAAGGUUGGAAAAUGCAGCAGAAAUAAAGUAUUUGCUCUGCUGAAGAUGGAAAAUCUAACCAGGCAGUGCACUUAGGCGGCACCUAAUGAGGAGUGUCACAACUUAUGACG
RNAcentral lists this long non-coding RNA (260 nucleotides) under Dromaius novaehollandiae (emu). Its description in RNAcentral is "lncRNA (ENSDNVG00000012005.1)". Lineage: Eukaryota; Metazoa; Chordata; Aves; Casuariiformes; Dromaiidae. The record is from RNAcentral.